GGAAAAGAAACUAACAAGGAUUCCCUUAGUAACGGCGAGUGAACCGGGAAGAGCUCAAAUUUGAAAUCUGGCUGUCUUCGAUAGUCCGAGUUGUAAUCUAUAGAAGCGUUUUCCGUGCUGAACUGUGUCUAAGUCCCUUGGAACAGGGUAUCAAAGAGGGUGACAAUCCCGUACUUGACACAAUCAUCAGUGCUCUGUGAUACGUUCUCUACGAGUCGAGUUGUUUGGGAAUGCAGCUCAAAAUGGGUGGUAAAUUCCAUCUAAAGCUAAAUAUUGGCGAGAGACCGAUAGCGAACAAGUACCGUGAGGGAAAGAUGAAAAGCACUUUGGAAAGAGAGUUAAACAGUACGUGAAAUUGUUAAAAGGGAAACGAUUGAAGUCAGUCGUGUUUAUUGGAUUCAGCCGGUCUUCGGUGUACUUCCUUUAAACGGGUCAACAUCAGUUUUGUCCGGUGGAUAAAGGCAGUAGGAAUGUGGCUCCCUCGGGAGUGUUAUAGCCUAUUGUCACAUACACUGGAGGAGACUGAGGACUGCAGCUCGCCUUUUGGCCGGGGUUCGCCCACGUUCGAGCUUAGGAUGUUGACAUAAUGGCUUUAAACGACCCGUC
This 606-nucleotide ribosomal RNA is filed under the name Apiotrichum laibachii. RNAcentral's name for it is "eukaryotic LSU rRNA". It matches the Rfam family "Eukaryotic large subunit ribosomal RNA", at positions 55 to 653 of the family's 3401-position model. The record is from RNAcentral. Lineage: Eukaryota; Fungi; Basidiomycota; Tremellomycetes; Trichosporonales; Trichosporonaceae.